ACGCCCCCAGCUGCUGGCUGCUGCAAGCCAAGCGCGGAAUAUGUGCAGCUGGGGCCCUUCGUGUUGCUAGGAGAGCGACGACUCUGCUUCCAGCCGUGGAGCCGAGACUGCUGUGUGUUACGAGGGGUGAACAAGACCAUCCUGACCUCCAGCCUCUCUCGCUGAGUCAUCAGGUUGACCAGCUGAAAAGCAAACCGGAAGGCCGGCCUGCCAUGUGAGGCGCUGACGCAGAAAGGCUGAGCUGGCCGAGUGAGGGACAAAGCUGAGAGCUGGGCCCAGCUCCGCCCCAUUCCGAAGAUUACCUCUUCUCCCCCAGCCGCUGCCCAGGUGGGAUGGGACAUCAUCCGCAACAGGAUUUGAGGGGAAACACGUGGAGCAUUGCUGUGGGCCUAUUUUCUAAGAGAAUAUCCUAAAGAAAACAAAUUCAAGUUUCCUGCUAGAGAAGCCUCUGCUUCAAAAGGAGUAGGGAGCAGAAAAAAUGCUAUGAAUUCAUCGAACUGAUGUUAUUUUCCUCUUGGACACAUGGAAAGGCUGUUUUUGAGCUUCCACUAUAGUAAGGUGGCGUCAAGGGGCUGAGCUCCUGGCCAAUGGAAGGGGCUAAAGGGACAAACACCCUGCCCAGCGUGCUCCUAAAGCCUGCAUGCGAUCCUCGCUGUGCUUUCUUCCCACUUGCUGGUUGGAUGCAGGGGACCCAGGGUGGGACUCCAAGGCCCUGGAAGAUGGUGGAGCCACUAGGAAGGGGCCUGGGUCCCCCAAUGCCUUUGUGGAGCAGAAUGUCCCCUCCUCUUGACGAUAUUGGACUAUGCUGGGUUGAGCCCUUGGCUUUGGGGGCUGCUUGUUUCCGUGAUGAGGUGGGGAGGGGCCCCCUGGUGACAGAGGGGUAAGGUUUAAUUAGCCACCCUGAACUGAGAAAAGGGAGCCUGUGCGUGGAAGAGUGUAUGUAAAUCGGAGUAAACACCCUCUGGUGGGGCCCUUUCUGACCUGCAAUUAAAGGUAACA
This 999-nucleotide long non-coding RNA is filed under the name Equus asinus (donkey). RNAcentral describes it as "lncRNA (ENSEASG00005026626.1)". Lineage: Eukaryota; Metazoa; Chordata; Mammalia; Perissodactyla; Equidae. The record is from RNAcentral.